Molecule: transfer RNA, 74 nt
Organism: Gonium pectorale
Lineage: Eukaryota; Viridiplantae; Chlorophyta; Chlorophyceae; Chlamydomonadales; Volvocaceae
Rfam family: tRNA
About the family: Transfer RNA (tRNA) molecules are approximately 80 nucleotides in length. Their secondary structure includes four short double-helical elements and three loops (D, anti-codon, and T loops).
Source: Rfam
GCCAGUGUAGCUUAACUUGGUAAAGCACCGCCCAUGUUGGCGGAAGGAUGCGGGUUCGAAUCCCGCCACUGGCA